ACCCCACUGCUAUCGGGAUUGACUAAGACAUGCUAGUUGAGUGCUUCUUCUAAAAAGAGGCGCAGCGUACCGCUCAGUAACACGUGGCUAAUCUGCCCUUAGGACGAGAACAACCCCGGGAAACUGGGGCUAACUCUCGAUAGGUGAAGAACUCUGGAAUGAGUCUUCGCCCAAAAAGCUUCACGUUAUGCGCGUGAAGUUGCCUAAGGAUGAGGCCGCGACCGAUCAGGUUGUUGGUGAGGUAAUGGCUCACCAAGCCUUUUACCGGUGCGGGCCGUGAGAGCGGGAGCCCGGAGAUGGGCACUGAGACAAGGGCCCAGGCCCUACGGGGCGCAGCAGUCGCGAAAACUUUGCAAUACACGAAAGUGUGACAGGGCUAUCCCGAGUGCCAUCCGCUGAGGAAGGCUUUUACCCAGUCUAGAACGCUGGGGGAAUAAGGAGAGGGCAAGUCUGGUGUCAGCCGCCGCGGUAAUACCAGCUCUCCGAGUGGUGUGGAUGUUUAUUGGGCCUAAAGCAUCCGUAGCUGGCUAAGUUAGUCCCUUGUUAAAUCCACCGAAUUAAUCGUUGGAUUGCGGGGGAUACUGCUUGGCUAGGGGACGAGAGAGGCAGACGGUAUUCUCGGGGUAGGGGUGAAAUCCUAUAAUCCCGAGAAGAUCACCAGUGGCGAACGCUGUCUGCUAGAACGCGCCCGACGGUGAGGGAUGAAAGCUGGGGGAGCGAACCGUAUUAGAUACCCGGGUAGUCCCAGCUGUAAACGAUGCAGCUAAGUGUUUGGACAGCCACGUGGCGAUCUAGUGCCCCAGGGAAGCUGUU
This 813-nucleotide ribosomal RNA is filed under the name uncultured archaeon. RNAcentral's name for it is "bacterial SSU rRNA". It matches the Rfam family "Archaeal small subunit ribosomal RNA", at positions 21 to 816 of the family's 1478-position model. The record is from RNAcentral.